RNAcentral lists this ribosomal RNA (497 nucleotides) under uncultured bacterium. RNAcentral describes it as "partial 16S ribosomal RNA". It matches the Rfam family "Bacterial small subunit ribosomal RNA", at positions 28 to 507 of the family's 1533-position model. The record is from RNAcentral.
GAUGAACGCUGGCGGCGUGCCUAAUACAUGCAAGUCGAGCGAACGGACGAGAAGCUUGCUUCUCUGAUGUUAGCGGCGGACGGGUGAGUAACACGUGGAUAACCUACCUAUAAGACUGGGAUAACUUCGGGAAACCGGAGCUAAUACCGGAUAAUAUUUUGAACCGCAUGGUUCAAAAGUGAAAGACGGUCUUGCUGUCACUUAUAGAUGGAUCCGCGCUGCAUUAGCUAGUUGGUAAGGUAACGGCUUACCAAGGCAACGAUGCAUAGCCGACCUGAGAGGGUGAUAGGCCACACUGGAACUGAGACACGGUCCAGAAUACUACGGGAGGCAGCAGUAGGGAAUCUUCCGCAAUGGGCGAAAGCCUGACGGAGCAACGCAGCGUGAGUGAUGAAGGUCUUCGGAUCGUAAAACUCUGUUAUUAGGGAAGAACAUAUGUGUAAGUAACUGUGCACAUCUUGACGGUACCUAAUCAGAAAGCCACGGCUAACUACGUG